GGGUACUAGGGUGGGGCUCGUUCCACGGACUCCGUGCCGUAGCUAACGCAUUAAGUACCCCGCCUGGGGAGUACGGCCGCAAGGCUAAAACUCAAAGAAAUUGACGGGGGCCCGCACAAGCGGCGGAGCAUGUGGAUUAAUUCGAUGCAACGCGAAGAACCUUACCUGGGUUUGACAUACACCAGAAAGCCGUAGAGAUACGGCCCCCCUUGUGGUUGGUGUACAGGUGGUGCAUGGCUGUCGUCAGCUCGUGUCGUGAGAUGUUGGGUUAAGUCCCGCAACGAGCGCAACCCUUAUCUUAUGUUUCCAGCGCGUAAUGGCGGGGACUCGUGAGAGACUGCCGGGGUCAACUAGGAGGAAGGAGGGGGGGAAGUCAAGUCAUCAUUCCCCUUAUGUCCAGGGUUUCACACAUGCUACAAUGGCCGGUACAGAGGGCUGCGAUACCGUGAGGUGGAGCGAAUCCCUUUAAGCCGGUCUCAGUUAGGAUGGGGGUUAGCAACUAGACCCCGUGAAGUUGGAGUCGCUAGUAAUUGCAGAUCAGCAACCAUGCGGUGAAUAAGUUCCCGGGCCUUGUACACACCGCCCGUCACGUCAUGAAAGUAGUUAACACCAGAAGCCGGUGGCCUAGCCCCUUGUGGGAGGGAGCCGUCGAAGGUGGAUCGGCGAUUGGAGGAAGUCGAAUCAAGAGCG
RNAcentral lists this ribosomal RNA (690 nucleotides) under Nocardia sp. NIOT-BARREN04. RNAcentral's name for it is "bacterial SSU rRNA". It matches the Rfam family "Bacterial small subunit ribosomal RNA", at positions 811 to 1499 of the family's 1533-position model. Lineage: Bacteria; Bacillati; Actinomycetota; Actinomycetes; Mycobacteriales; Nocardiaceae. RNAcentral also lists the same sequence under 1 other name. The record is from RNAcentral.